Non-coding RNA from Trichophaea hybrida, 72 nucleotides. The record is from the annotation of a GenBank genome assembly. Lineage: Eukaryota; Fungi; Ascomycota; Pezizomycetes; Pezizales; Pyronemataceae.
GGGCCAGUAGCUCAGUCAGUAGAGCAUCCGUAUAGUAUAGGAAGGCCCUAGGUUUGACUCCUAGCCAGUCCA